GCGGCCCGGGGCCGCGGCGCGGCGUGGGAGGGACAGUUUAUUGCUUCCUGGCGUGUAAGGUGAAACCAGCCUCCACGACCUCUCGCUCCCCCGCCCCUCCACGCGCACAGACACACGCUCGCUCGCGCGUUUCCCCUCCGCUCGCUCCCUCCCUCGGUCCGCGGCCCGGCUGCCGAAGCAGGUGAGAGCUCUCGCUCGGCUCCCGGCGGCCCUCCCGGGGAGGAGCCGGGCGCCGCGAGCUGAUUCGGCCUGCUCGGGAGGGAAAUGGCAAGUGAGUAGCUGGGUUGAAGUGCUCCUCGGUCGGGCAUUCAAAGCCCUCCAAAUCUGGCCCCACUUUAGCUGUCCAAUCACGGCCGCCUCCAUCCCCCUGCAAGAACUCCCCGCUCCAAUCAGUGGAGUCUCCAUGCCAUCCUCGGCGCGCAGCAGAUUCAUUCUUCCUUGGUGCCUUUGCCCAUGCCGCUCCCCACCCCCUUUGCCAGGAGUGCCCUCCCUGCCUUAGACUCCCGAUUCAGCCCGGGCCCCGAGACGCGGCUCAAGUCGCGGCUUGUCAGGGUCCCUGGCAGCCAAGGCCCCUCCUGUUCCUCGAAGAAACACAUGUAACACAACAUGGAGGCACAAGGCUUCAGCCAAGAGCUCUUCCUCUGCAGCCAUCUGAACCCACCCUCAGCCCUCUUCCCAUUCAUACUUGGAGAGCUUUGCUGGCAGAGGGCGAGACUCCCUGCCUCCUCCAGCGGAUCAUCCCUUCUCCAAGAGCAGAAUUGGCUUUUCUAGGUGGGGCUGGUCGGGAAGGCUGAGCGCCUGGGUGUAGAAGACAACGGCCAAAGCCUCUGGCACAAGAUGGAACAGCUGCGCAGCUCCCACUGACCUUUCUGUGUGCCUGUGGCUGUCGUGAGCCUCCGGCUCCUAACUUUUCUGACCGUGUUUCUGUCAGACUUCUUCCUGUCAGAUUUUCUUGGCCACUUUCCUGGAUGGACUUUGAGCUAGGAGCCUCUGCCACCUUUCAGACUUCCAGUGGGUGGUGAAUCUGAUUGGCGUGGGCUGCUUGGUCUUUUGAGUGCUCUGUUCCCUGCCUUGGCCUGAAACUCUCUUGCUUUUGUCGGUGUGGCCUCAGGCCUGGUUCACAGACUCACUCUGAGUGUUUGCACCUGGAUGGGUGGAGGGAGCAAAAUACGGUUCCUUCCUGAGGAUCCAGACUGCGUUCCAAGUACCCAGUGUGUGAAUUGUAUCACACAAACGAGCCCCCUUUUUCACAACCUCGGGACACCCCGGCUUUAGGCUAAGUGUAAGCUACUAUUAAAUCCAUCUCGCACAUGUACCAGUGUGUCCUGCAUAUACUGCGUUUUCCCGGCGCUAACUGACAGGUAUUAUUGUUCACAGUGGCAUAACUGAAGAAUAGCUAAUGCUCCAUGAGUACUUACUGUGCCAUAGUCGCCCUUUCUGUACGCGGUUAUAAUUAUGCUUUCUGAAACUAAGUCAUAUAGAUACUCUUAUUCUGUGCGUUUUACAGAUGAAACAAAAGCUUAGAAAAGGUAAGUGGCAUUCUUAGUUAUCAGCUUAACUAAAUGUAAGAGUCGGGUUUAAAUUGUGAAGGUUGGUUUUAGACCCAGCAAGACGUUGUUGAAGCCAGGAUUGUAACGGAAGAUCUUGAAUGCAUAUUUAUAAAUUCUGUAGCUGUGGAGAAGGUGAUAUAAAAAGACAAGGGGAAAGUGGCCCAGACCCCUUUUUCUAAAUUUUUUUUAACCUCCUGAAGGGAGAAUGAUGGGUUCACAUUGCCACACCCUGAUGGGGAGAAUCAUCAAAGAAAGGUAAGUGAGACGUGCUAAAGAUCUUAAGAAAAGGAAGUCGAGAACCGAAAUGUCUUUAAAAUAACUUCACUACCGGGUGUCACACAGGCUGGCUUCCCGAGGGCAACUUUGCAGUUUUUUAAUAGGUUCCAUAAAGAGCCACGUACCCCACCGUCGCCACUAGAGGGCUCAGCAGAGCUACAGCCCCGACUUGCCCUCUAGCGGCGAUUCUGAACGAAGUAUGUUUACGCAGACCUGAGGCCUUCAGGGACUGGCAGCAGGGCAGUUGGAGCAGACAUCUGGAACCAUUAGGUUCAACCAACCAUGAGAGGGUUUGCAUAUCGUCACAGACUCAAGAGAUCCCAUUGCCAGAAUGAGAGAUACAUAAUUUCAGGAAAAGAAGGAUCAUUGCUUACAUUAAACAUCUAGCAGGUGUAACUGUAUGUGUGUGAUACAGGGAAGACAAGCUCUGAAUGUGGGUGGCACGAUCCCAUUGGCUGGUUUCCAGGACUGAACAAAGUGAGGGAAAAGGAGAAGGCCAGGCUGACAUCUGGUGCUGAGACUGGAGCCUCAGUGCUAAAGGAAUGCAGGCCAGGCCGUUGUUCUCAAAGAAAACAGUCAGCUAUGUCCAGUUUCUCAUGUGGAUACAGAUCUCCCGGAUGGGCCAGGCUUGACGCUCACUCUAAAGGGGCUUGUCGCUACCACCCUUAGCCCCAGACCAUGCAGCGAGCUGACUUCGCCCAUGCCUGAUCAGGCUGCAGCUGGAACUCGGCUCCAGAGCCAGAUCAAAGGCCAGUGCUUCGGGCUAGCCCAGGAGCAGCCCAGGAGGGCUGCCGCAGCCCUCGCAGAAACAGGCAGCGGCCGCAUCCUGCGUUCUCCGCGGUUGCCGUGUUCACCGACCGGCAAUCAGGUCCGGGGGGGAAAAGGGGAGCCCUUUCCUUCCCCGGUGCUACAGCCGAAAAUAAACCACAAACCUCGGUCGACCUUUUCUGAA
Molecule: long non-coding RNA, 2778 nt
Organism: Psammomys obesus (fat sand rat)
Lineage: Eukaryota; Metazoa; Chordata; Mammalia; Rodentia; Muridae
Exons: 4
Source: RefSeq, a predicted model, not a curated record